RNAcentral lists this long non-coding RNA (1313 nucleotides) under Equus caballus (horse). Its description in RNAcentral is "lncRNA (ENSECAG00000049741.1)". Lineage: Eukaryota; Metazoa; Chordata; Mammalia; Perissodactyla; Equidae. The record is from RNAcentral.
CUUCUUCUGGUUUUUGUAUUUCCCUUUUCCCGGGUCAGUCAGGCUAUGAUAAAACCCCAACAGGUUAGGCUGGGGCUAAAUAGUUUCUCCUGCGGGCGAACCUUGUUAAUAAGAAUAGGAUGCACCUGUGUAUUUCAGAUUGGUUCCUUUUCCCCUCCUCCUGCUGGAAGCCGGAGAGGAUUUUCCUCCCACGUUCACUAUGACCUGGUUGAGCAGCUAGAGGAUCCAACUACUGCUGGAGACCAAACAGCCAGGAAGUGGCAAUGCUGGGACUUGAACAGAGGCCAUUGCCCACACUUGGUGGAUGCCCUGUGCAAAUGCUCACCUUUGAGAUGCUAUUGAGAUGAACUUAAUGGAGUAAAAGCAGUUUAAAUUCACAAUGCUGAAGAAAAGGGAUUGAUGACCCAGGAAAAAAAUUCAGCCUUCUUAAGAUAUUCUGAAAGAAAAUUGAGGACUAGUGACUGGUGAAGUCAAAGCUGGAGGCCAGGUUUGUUUAGCCUGUGAAGUUUAGAAUUUGCAGGAGAGCAUAAUUCAUCUUAGUGGGAAGAGAGACCUCUGGCUGCUUUCCUCUCUUUGAAGAGCCUGGCCUGAGGGAGAAGAGAAAGAAGGAAUCCGCAUUCCACCAGUUCUCCUGUGGCGACUGAAAAAUGAAGCUUGGUCAUCAGGAGGCGAAGUUUACUUCCACAGGACCAUGGGACUAGAGCUGAAGUGUCUAGGAAUCGUGUGGGGAGCUGGUUACCUUCCGAGACUGGUUCGUGGUGUCUUUGGAGGGACCUAAGUGAUUCUGGAACUACACUUUGACCAUCACUGAUUGACAGAGCUCAACAUCCUGAUUCUCAUUUUAGAGGACAAAGAACCCUAAAAAUAUGCAACUUAGGCUCAGGGUUGGGGUGGGGUGAAAAAAUACAAAAGCAUGGUGGAGCUUGGGAAGGGAGAGAAGGUUAGGCGAAUGGGUAUUUAAACAAACUAAGAAAGAACAGUGUGCCAGAAAAUGCACGGAACCCCAGGAGAGCAGCAGAAUGCUACGUGAGAGUUAUAUGAGCAAGAGAUAGUGUGUAGGGGAGAGAUGCUUUGGAAGAGUAGACUCAAAGGAGCUUGGCAAAGAAAACAUUCAGGAGACUGUGCUGGCAAAGCUCUGGGACUGUAACAGAUGGCACUUGAGAAACAUAAAAGCAUUCUACAAGCCCUGCCAUAUACACACAAGACAAUGAUAGAAGACUAAGAUGGAUCCAAAGACACUGCAUCCGCCAUUCCUGCCUGGAGAUUGUGUGCUAACACUGGGGCUGACCCAGCCUUGGUGGGCCUGGAAUGUA